AGUUCGGAGAGUUUGAUCCUGGCUCAGGACGAACGCUGACGGCGUGCUUUAGACAUGCAAGUCGAACGAGAAAGCCCUUCGGGGUGAGUACAGUGGCGAACGGGUGAGUAACACGUGGGUAACCUGCCCCUCGCAGGGGGAUAACCGGGGGAAACCCCGGCUAAUACCCCGUAAGCUUACAAAGCGGCAUCGCUUUGUAAGGAAAGGUAGCUUCGGCCAUCCGGCGAGGGAUGGGCCCGCGGUGCAUUAGCUAGUUGGUGGGGUAACGGCCCACCAAGGCGACGAUGCAUAGCUGGUCUGAGAGGAUGAUCAGCCACACUGGGACUGAGACACGGCCCAGACUCCUACGGGAGGCAGCAGUGGGGAAUCUUGCGCAAUGGGCGAAAGCCUGACGCAGCGACGCCGUGUGCGGGAAGAAGGCCUUCGGGUUGUAAACCGCUUUCAGGAGGGACGAAGCCACUCGGGUUAAUAGCCCAGAGGGUGACGGUACCUCCAGAAGAAGCCCCGGCUAACUACGUGCCAGCAGCCGCGGUAAUACGUAGGGGGCUAGCGUUGUCCGGAUUUAUUGGGCGUAAAGAGCGUGUAGGCGGCCAGGUAGGUCCGGUGUGAAAACUCGAGGCUCAACCUCGAGAUGUCAUCGGAAACCAUCUGGCUAGAGUCCGGAAGAGGAGAGUGGAAUUCCUGGUGUAGCGGUGAAAUGCGCAGAUAUCAGGAAGAACACCUAUGGCGAAAGCAGCUCUCUGGGACGGUACUGACGCUGAGACGCGAAAGCGUGGGGAGCGAACAGGAUUAGAUACCCUGGUAGUCCACGCCGUAAACGAUGGG
This 825-nucleotide ribosomal RNA is filed under the name Actinomycetota bacterium. RNAcentral's name for it is "bacterial SSU rRNA". It matches the Rfam family "Bacterial small subunit ribosomal RNA", at positions 1 to 813 of the family's 1533-position model. The record is from RNAcentral. Lineage: Bacteria; Bacillati; Actinomycetota.